Non-coding RNA from Acanthosepion pharaonis, 111 nucleotides. The record is from the annotation of a GenBank genome assembly. NCBI's taxonomy places the organism in Eukaryota, Metazoa, Mollusca, Cephalopoda, Sepiida, Sepiidae.
UUACGGCUAUAUCACGUUGAAACGCCGGUACUCGUCUCGUCACCGAAGUUAAGCAACACUGAGCCUGGUCACUACCUAGAUGGGUGACCGUUUGAGAAUACUAAAUGCUAU